UGACUCUGUCUGGGGUGCCAUUGAUUUGGCUGAGAGAUACCCACAUAACCUGAUCUAGUUAGGACUAGCGGAGGGAGACAGCUUAAUUUGGCG
Molecule: regulatory RNA element, 93 nt
Rfam family: TPP riboswitch aptamer (THI element)
About the family: Vitamin B(1) in its active form thiamin pyrophosphate (TPP) is an essential coenzyme that is synthesised by coupling of pyrimidine and thiazole moieties in bacteria. The previously detected thiamin-regulatory element, thi box was extended, resulting in a new, highly conserved RNA secondary structure, the THI element, which is widely distributed in eubacteria and also occurs in some archaea. Analysis of operon structures identified a large number of new candidate thiamin-regulated genes, mostly transporters, in various prokaryotic organisms.
Source: Rfam